Molecule: ribosomal RNA, 370 nt
Filed under: uncultured bacterium
Lineage: Bacteria
Description: partial 16S ribosomal RNA
Rfam family: Bacterial small subunit ribosomal RNA
Source: RNAcentral
CCUACGGGUGGCUGCAGUGAGGAAUAUUGGUCAAUGGCCGGAAGGCUGAACCAGCCAAGCCGCGUGAAGGACGAAGGUGCCAAGCAUUGUAAACUUCUUUUGUCAAGGGACAAAAUCAGGCUCGAGAGCCUGACCGAGGGUACUUGAAGAAAAAGCAUCGGCUAACUCCGUGCCAGCAGCCGCGGUAAUACGGAGGAUGCGAGCGUUAUCCGGAUUUAUUGGGUUUAAAGGGUGCGUAGGCGGGCUGUGACGUAAGCGGUAAAAGCCCGGGGCCCAACCCCGGCGAGCCGUUGAAACUGGCUGUAUUGAGAUGGCGAGAGGUAUGCGGAAUGCGAGGUGUAGCGGAGAAAUGUUUAGAUAUUGCGCAGAA